UACGAAGGGGGCUAGCGUUGCUCGGAAUCACUGGGCGUAAAGGGUGCGUAGGCGGGUUUUUAAGUCAGAGGUGAAAUCCUGGAGCUCAACUCCAGAACUGCCUUUGAUACUGAAGAUCUUGAGUUCGGGAGAGGUGAGUGGAACUGCGAGUGUAGAGGUGAAAUUCGUAGAUAUUCGCAAGAACACCAGUGGCGAAGGCGGCUCACUGGCUCGGUACUGACGCUGAGGUGGCGAAAGCGUGGGGAGCAAACAGG
This 254-nucleotide ribosomal RNA is filed under the name uncultured bacterium. RNAcentral's name for it is "partial 16S ribosomal RNA". It matches the Rfam family "Bacterial small subunit ribosomal RNA", at positions 524 to 776 of the family's 1533-position model. The record is from RNAcentral.